Molecule: transfer RNA, 94 nt
Filed under: Trichoderma reesei QM6a
Lineage: Eukaryota; Fungi; Ascomycota; Sordariomycetes; Hypocreales; Hypocreaceae
Also listed under: 1 other name
Rfam family: tRNA
About the family: Transfer RNA (tRNA) molecules are approximately 80 nucleotides in length. Their secondary structure includes four short double-helical elements and three loops (D, anti-codon, and T loops).
Source: Rfam by way of RNAcentral
GCGCAUAUGGCCGAGCGGUUUAAGGCGAUGGUUUUAAGAUUUCUUCUAAACACCAUUAUCGAGAGAUGCCUGGGUUCGAACCCCAGUGUGCGCA